This is a long non-coding RNA of Cydia splendana, 400 nucleotides long. RefSeq lists it as uncharacterized. Lineage: Eukaryota; Metazoa; Arthropoda; Insecta; Lepidoptera; Tortricidae. The transcript is spliced from 3 exons. The record is from RefSeq and is a predicted model, not a curated record.
CAUUUUCUUAUUUUUGACAUUGUUUUAUUUGACGACCGGUCUGGCCUAGUGGGUAGUGACCCUGCCUAUGAAGCCGAUGGUCCCGGGUUCAAAUCCUGGUAAGGGCAUUUAUUCGUGUGAUGAGCACAGAUAUUUGUUCCUGAGUCAUGGGUGUUUUCUAUGUAUUAAAGUAUUUAUAAAUAUUUAUACAGGCUCUACACCGUGUUUUUAUUGAAUUCCGUUAACUUCGGGGUAUAGUUAAGUACGUUUAUAAGAACUAAAUGGCAUAGUUAAUUUUCAAAAAAAAAAAAUUUUUUUUGUUUUCUUUUAUGUUUUUUUUUUGUUUAAAAAGUAAUUAAAUGUAGCAUAUAGCGUUGUUGUAACACGGGCAUUACAUUUAACUCAACCAAACAAUUGAAAU